UCGAUUUACUGGGUGUAAGGGCCGUGCAGCGAAGAUGGCAAGGUUGGGAGGUGAAAUCCUGGGGCUCAAACCCGGAAACUGCUUUCAAAACUGUUAUCCUUGAGUGUCGGAGGAGGCAAGCGGAAAUUCCUAGUGUAGCGUGAAAUGCGUAGAAUAUUAGGAGGAACACCAGUGGCGAGGGCGGCUUGCUGGACGAUAACUGAACGCUGAGGCGCGAAAGCGUGGGGAGCAAAACAGGAUUAGAUACCCUGGUAGUCCACCGCUGUAAACGAUGAAUACUAGGUGGUGGGAGGACUGACCCAUUCCGUGCCGCAGUUAACACAAUAAGUAUUCCACCUGGGGAGUACGACCGCAAGGUUGAAACUCAAAGGAAUUGACGGGGGCCCGCACAAGCAGUGGAUUAUGUGGUUUAAUUCGACGCAACGCGAAGAACCUUACCAGGGUUUGACAUCCAACUAACGAAGUAGAGAUACAUUAGGUGCCCUUCGGGGAAAGUUGAGACAGGUGGUGCAUGGUUGUCGUCAGCUCGUGUCGUGAGAUGUUGGGUUAAGUCCCGCAACGAGCGCAACCCCUAUUGUUAGUUGCUACGCAAGAGUACUCUAGCGAGACUGCCGUUGACAAAACGGAGGAAGGCGGGGACGACGUCAAAUCAUCAUGCCCCUUAUAUCCUGGGCUACACACGUAAUACAAUGGUGGUCAACAGAGGGAGGCAAAGGAGCGAUCCGGAGCAAAUCCCUAAAAGCCAUCUCAGUUCGGAUUGCAGGCUGCAACUCGCCUGCAUGAAGCUGGAAUUGCUAGUAAUCGCGGAUCAGC
Molecule: ribosomal RNA, 813 nt
Filed under: uncultured bacterium
Lineage: Bacteria
Description: bacterial SSU rRNA
Rfam family: Bacterial small subunit ribosomal RNA
Source: RNAcentral